This 141-nucleotide small nuclear RNA is filed under the name Cebus imitator (Panamanian white-faced capuchin). RNAcentral describes it as "U4 spliceosomal RNA (ENSCCAG00000008471.1)". It matches the Rfam family "U4 spliceosomal RNA". Rfam says of the family: U4 small nuclear RNA (U4 snRNA) is a component of the major U2-dependent spliceosome. The structure of U4 snRNA from yeast and human has been reported. U4 snRNA presents a k-turn RNA motif in the 5p-SL related to recognition of Snu13 protein. The record is from Rfam by way of RNAcentral. Lineage: Eukaryota; Metazoa; Chordata; Mammalia; Primates; Cebidae.
AGCUUUGUGCAGUGGCAGUAUCGUAGCCAAUGAGGUUUAUUCGAGGUGUGAUUAUUGCUAAUUGAAAACUUUUCCCAAUACCCCGCCAUGACGACUUGCAAUAUAGUUGGCCCUGGCAAUUUUUGACAGUCUGUACGGAGA